ACUGUUUUGCUUGUUAAAAUCAGUGUCCUUGUUCCCUAGGGAUCAGCAGGCUGCUGCCCAGCAGGGAGAACUGUGCUCUGAAGAAGACAGUUAUGAUGUGAUGUCCCAAAGAUUCAAAGGGUUUCCCUUUCUCAACUCUUCUCUGGAGCCUGCCCCGCCAGGAAUAUGAGUCUCAAGAUGAAAGCUCCUCCUCAGGUAACACCAGGCUACUGUGAACUGCUGCUGAGUGGAGGUUGACCAGAGCUGUGAAGAUCCCUUUCCCCAAGAGUUGAUGGUUCCAGAUGAGGAGUGCUAACUGGAACAAGAAAUAUGGAUUUCAGAGGGAAUCUUGUCAGAACCCACACACAGGAGUUUGACAAUCUCAUCACUGCCAUUUUAAGGCCACUAUCACCUCUUUCCAAAAUGCCUCUGUCCUAGAGCACUCCCAAGGCACAUCCUGGAGAGUUCACUUCCUCACGUGUCACACAUGUAUUUUUGUCCUUGUGAAAAUGGAUUUGGAGCUCUGGACAAGAUU
Molecule: non-coding RNA, 514 nt
Organism: Cyanistes caeruleus (blue tit)
Lineage: Eukaryota; Metazoa; Chordata; Aves; Passeriformes; Paridae
Source: RefSeq, a predicted model, not a curated record